Molecule: non-coding RNA, 72 nt
Filed under: Pseudomonas tolaasii NCPPB 2192
Lineage: Bacteria; Pseudomonadati; Pseudomonadota; Gammaproteobacteria; Pseudomonadales; Pseudomonadaceae
Source: RNAcentral
UGUGGGAGCUGGCUUGCCUGCGAUGGCGGUGGUGAAUUCACUAUCGCUAUCGCAGGCAAGCCAGCUCCCACA